UUCUACGGCCAUGUCACCUGGAACAAGCCCAAUGUCUAAUCUUGGAAAGUAAACAGUCAGGCCUGGUUAGUACCUGGAUGGGAGACUACCUAGGAAGACCAGGUGCUGUAAGCA
This 114-nucleotide ribosomal RNA is filed under the name Pteropus alecto (black flying fox). Lineage: Eukaryota; Metazoa; Chordata; Mammalia; Chiroptera; Pteropodidae. RNAcentral also lists the same sequence under 1 other name. The record is from RNAcentral.